Long non-coding RNA from Cydia strobilella, 155 nucleotides. RefSeq lists it as uncharacterized. NCBI's taxonomy places the organism in Eukaryota, Metazoa, Arthropoda, Insecta, Lepidoptera, Tortricidae. The transcript has 2 exons. The record is from RefSeq and is a predicted model, not a curated record.
ACACGUAGUUUUAAAAUGAGAACGAAACUCCUUUACUUUUUUUUUAUACUACGUAGGUGGCAAACAAGCAUACGGCCCGCCUGAUGUUAAGCAGUCUCCGUAGCCUAUGUACGCCUGCAACUCCAGAGCAGUUACAUGCGCGUUGCCGACCCUAA